Molecule: long non-coding RNA, 5037 nt
Organism: Solea solea (common sole)
Lineage: Eukaryota; Metazoa; Chordata; Actinopteri; Pleuronectiformes; Soleidae
Exons: 2
Source: RefSeq, a predicted model, not a curated record
GUAAAUCUACUAUCAUCAGAACCUGUGCGACUUGUCGGUUUUACUGACUAACUGACUAGUCUAACUGCUGUUUAACUGCUGUCUAGCUUCCGCUAACUGUGUGUGUGUGUGAAAUAAACCUUCAGAAAGACAGUCGAGUGUGCAUUUGGACUUUCUGGGUAUCUCAUAGGACUACUGGAAUUAAGCUAAGUAUCACUUCUGUAGGUCUUUCUUAUUUGGUUGCUUUUUCAUUAAUUGCUAUUGUAUCUAGCUGGGUUGCUUGACUUUUGACUUGUCUGGGGCGUGGCCAACACAGCUGAGUAAGAUUUAAACCAGACCCAAACCAGCAUUUCUCAUUGUGCAUUUGGACGUUCUGGGUAUCUCAUAGGACUACUGGAAUUAAGCUAAGUAUUUUUUUUAAAACUUCAUUGAAUCUUCAUUGGCUACAGGGGAGUGGCCAACACAGCUGUAACCAAUCAGCCCCUAAUCAGGUGUCUUUUAAAAAGCAGCAUUCCCUUUGAAGCGGCAGCUUCAGGCAGACUCAGGAAGACAAAGACAAAGGACUCUCAACCGGAGUCUAACAAGGAGGCUAACAAGGAGGCUAAUGAGGCUAAGUGCCUGCCUGCAAUUGUUUUUCUACCUUUCACAUAUGUGCACUUUUUCUUCUUUCUUCUCGCAGAUAUUACAAACCUCACAUUCACUCACAGCAUCACCGUAAUCUGUCCUCACUUAUCUAUCCCACCCGCUCCACACACAUCCACCACCUUGUUGCAGGGGGCCUGUGGAACUGCCAGUCAGAGGCCGAGCUAGAGGGGGGGCCGGGGUAGCACUGGACCCCCCUGAAAUCUGAUUGGACCCCCCAGGUGCGCCCCCAGAUGAUUGACAUAUCACGCUACCGCACGUCUUGUCGCAAGGAGCCAGUUGCAUUUUUAAAUCAGUGACGCCUAUUGACUGCUAAGCCCCUCCUGUACACUAGUUGGCGCAAAGAGUUGUAAUCCACAUUUAUUAGAAGAGAACCGUUUAUCGUUGCUGGAGUGCGUUGAGCCAGGAGAACAGGACAGCGGAUCAACACAUGACACGACGAAAAAGAAGAAGAAGAGAGGUAGGAUAAAUAGACUUCAUGGACAGUGAAAUCCUCAUUCUAAAGUAAGUUUUACGGGGGUGUCGUAAUAAGUCACUGACAGUGACUCAUUAGGAGCCACGGGUAUAAAGUUAACAAUGUUAACAUUAAGUUACAUCUCAUGGCGUCUACAGAUGACCAGUGUCAUCAUUAAUUUCGGGUUGCUGCUUAGGAUGCAUUUACAUGUUUAUCCGAUGAUUUUAGAGGACUGAAACUAGCAGACAAUCAGCCAGCUAGCUGUUUCAUGUUCUGUUUAUCCUUCACGUCUUGCCCUGUGUUAUGUCUCUAUACUGUUGGUAUACGUUACUGGUAUGUUUGUAUACAUUACAUAAAUCUGAAACUAAAAUAUAUUAAAAACGUAACGUGGAGAUGGUAGCCAGCCUGUCAACUAGCUGAAAGUCUGAAUAUUAAACUUACAUCUACAGUGGUCUAUGUCUCCUGACAUUUGUUAGGCUUGAAGUGGGGAUUUAAUAACAUUGUGCAAUUAUAAGUGAUGCUAGGAGUAACAAGACUGGAUUAUUUUUUCAUAGGGUCAGUUGAGAAUGAAAAGACAGGGGGACAAGAUACAUGACUUCUUCUUAAAGAGAAGCAAGUCAGGCAAAGAUGAGGGAGGCAGACAGACAGACAGACAGAACUCAGCUCUGAGAUCAGUAGUCCUUGCAGCUUCCAUCCUGUGACUAGUCAGGAGUGAGAAUGUGAGGCACAACACAGCCCAUCAUCACCAGUUCCAUCGAAGGAGGACACAGAAGCCUCUGAUUCUGACGAAGAUGUUGGUGAGCCAGAAGAGCCAGACCCGGAGCCAGCUGUGUCCAGUGUGUGUGUGUGUGUGUGUGAGUGUGUAACUGUGUGUGAGUGAGUACCAGAGAGAGAGCAUUUUCAUCAUUUUUGUAAAAAUGAUGUCAUUAUUGAAAAAUUGUUGCCAAGUUGUGUUUUACAUUGUGUACAAUGUUAAUAAAAUGCAAAUUAUACACACAAAUCUGAUCUCCUGUGUGCUUAGUAUGUACAUUUUAACAUUAAGAAACUCAGAUUGCAAUUUAUUGGUCGAGAAACAAAUUCAUUGUCAUAGUCUGUGGACCCCCUGAAAUAGCCUUGACCCGUCUGAAGUAAAUAACUACAGACCUGUCUCUCUUCUUCCUUUUCUUUCCAAAACUCUGGAGCGUGCUAUCUUUAAUCAACUCUCUUCCUACCUUCACUGGAACAACCUUCUCGAUCCUCUUCAGUCUGGUUUUAAAGCAGGUCACUCGACCGAAACUGCACUUCUUGCUGUCACUGAGCAACUCCACACUGCCAGGGCUGCCUCUCUCUCGUCCUCUUGGACCUUUCUGCAGCGUUUGACACAGUUAACCACCAGAUCCUUACUUCCUCCCUUCAAGAACUAGGUGUCUCAGGCUCUGCACUUACCCUACUCUCAUCCUCAACCUUCAAAACCGAACAUACAGAGUAACCUGGAGAGGAUCUGUGUCGGAACCCUUUCCUCUAGCUACUGGGAUCUCCGCUUGUCUGACUGACAUCUCUCAGUGGAUGUCGGACCAUCACCUGAAACUCAAUCUCGACAAGACCGAGUUUCUUUUUCUCACAGGAAAGGGUUCUCCCACCACAGAUGUGUCCAUCAUCCUCGACAACGCUGUGGUAGCUCCUUCUCAUACUGCAAGGAACCUGGGUGUGACACUUGAUGACCAUCUCUCCCUCACUGCCAACAUUGCUGCAACAGUUCGAUCUUGCAGAUACAUGUUGCACAACAUCAGAAGGAUACGGACUCUUCUUACCCAGAAGGCGGCACAGGUUCUGGUCCAGGCUCUUGUCAUCUCACGCUUGGAUUACUGCAACUCCCUCCUGGCUGGUCUCCCUGCGUGUGCCAUACGACCUCUGCAACUCAUCCAGAAUGCAGCAGCUCGACUGGUCUUCAACUUACUUAGACUUAGACUUAGACUUCCUUUUAUUGUCAUUGCACAGAAUACACAGCAGUGAAAACUGGCAACGAAAUUUCGUUGCUUGGCAGCAGAUAAUAAACCAACACAUAGCAUUGAAUUUUUGUCACUUAUGAGUUUAUGAUGGGAAAUGUCUUUUAUCUUACUGUAAAUGUCUAUACAUGUAUCCAACUUUUUUGACUGACUAUGAUUAAUAAAAAAAAUAAAUAAAGUGUUUUAUGUAUAUAAAUAUAGGUAAGUAAAAAUAGUGCAAAAAGAGAACAGGAAUGAAAACUGUAGCAGCAAUAUGAAAGGAAAAAAAAACAGUUAAAUAUUGCACAGAUAGUGUCGGGAAGGGGGGGGGGGGGACUGCUAAAUUGUUAUUUGGAAUUUAGCAGUCUGAUGGCCAGCGGAAAGUAGCUGUUCUUGAGUCGGUUUGUUCUGCAGCGGAUGCUGCGGAACCUCCUGCCAGACGCCAGCAGGGAGAACAGUCCAUGGUGGGGGUGGGUGUGGUCAGUGAGGAUCUGGUGAGCCCUGGUUAGACAGCGCCUGUGUGCAAUGUCUUUGAUGGGUGGGAGUGGUCCCAAUGAUCUUCUCCGCUGUUCUCACCACCCUCUGCAGAGACUUCCAGUCGGAGGCCUUGCAGCUCCCAGACCAGACGGAGAUGCCACUGGUCAGCAGGCUCUCGAUGGUCCCUCUGUAGAAGGUACCAAAAUUCUCCCACACUACACCGCUCCUCCGCUCCCUUCACUGGCUUCCUGUAGCUGCUCGCAUCCACUUCAAGACUCUAGUGCUUGCAUUCCAUGCUACAAACGGAUCCGGUCCAGCCUACAUCCAGGACAUGAUCUAAACCUACACCCCAGCCCGCCCACUCUGCCCCUCACUGAGAGGAUCGCAGAGGCAUUCACAGAACUUGAGACUGUUCACUGUCCUAGCUCCCAAAUGGUGGAACGAGCUCCCCAUUGACAUCGGGACAUAGAUAGAUAGCUAGCACUAGCACUUUAUAGUUUGGCUUACUUGAAGCUCUUACUUCUAGCUCUUGUUUGUACCCAAAUGUUUAAAUGCACUUAUUGUAGGUGGCUUUGGCUAAAAGCGUCUGCUAAAUGACAUGUAAUGUAAUGUAAGGCCCGUCAUACUUGUUCUGGUUGCCCCUUCCAGAAGGGAUUAUUGAGAAGAUUAUUGAGAUUAUUGAGAAGGUGAUGCUACGACAGGUAUUUUAAACACAAUUCUCAAAUGUUACGACGCAUCUCAUUGGACAAUCGAAAAUGAUGGGUCACAUGUGCAGAACAACAAGCAUUGGUGGUUCAGUGGUAGAAUUCUCGCCUGCCAGAUACAGGCCGGGCGAAGUUAGCUGGAAUGCACUGACAGCCAAUCAGACGGCAGCAUUUUCAUGUAUGCUGCUGUCCCCUGAUCAUUGGUGCUGAUCUGGUGCAUUAGACAUCUAAAUCUCAGGAUAGAGAGUUUAAAAUUGUAUCAUUGUUGCGUGUGGCCAUGACAUCACUCACUCAUUAAGACAUUUAUUCAAUCCCUGUGCUGUGCUUAAACCUGCAUGUCUCUCUUUUCUUAUCAGGCUGGCUCACUCAGGCUGACACACCUGCAGCAGAUCCAGCAUCGUUACACCCAAUUACCAGCCUGCUAUAAAAGCCAGCAGUGCAGUUGCUCAAGAGACUGAGACCCAGCAACACCUUACUCCCACAGUAUCAUUUGUUAAAUACCUUUACCUUUCAGUAAUCCUUGAUUUAGUUAUUUUAUUUUGGCCUGGAGAUGGCCGGUAGUUCUACUUUUCGCUUAGCUUUAGUUCAUUAUUUGGUUUUGUCAGGGAGGGAGGGGGAACCAGCUUCGACGUCCCUAUAGGGGGUGGCCUGGGCCCCCCUCCAUUUUGCUGAGUUUGGCUGGCAUCUCCAGGUCCCUUUUGGUUUGCUGAUACUUUAUUUGGUAAGGUAUUUAUAUUAUUUAUUUUAUCUUUAAUUGUGGUUUUCUUUAAGAAUAUUCAUUUCCCUGUGGGAGAAUAAAACCGGUUAAAACGUUCAA